GACGAACGCUGGCGGCGUGCUUAACACAUGCAAGUCGAACGAGAAUCUACUGAAAGAGUUUUCGGACAAUGGAAGUAGAGGAAAGUGGCGGACGGGUGAGUAACGCGUGAGGAACCUGCCUUGAAGAGGGGGACAACAGUUGGAAACGACUGCUAAUACCGCAUGACGCAUAGAGGUCGCAUGAUCUUUAUGCCAAAGAUUUAUCGCUUCAAGAUGGCCUCGCGUCUGAUUAGCUGGUUGGCGGGGUAACGGCCCACCAAGGCGACGAUCAGUAGCCGGACUGAGAGGUUGAACGGCCACAUUGGGACUGAGAUACGGCCCAGACUCCUACGGGAGGCAGCAGUGGGGAAUAUUGGGCAAUGGGCGCAAGCCUGACCCAGCAACGCCGCGUGAAGGAAGAAGGCUUUCGGGUUGUAAACUUCUUUUAAGAGGGAAGAGCAGAAGACGGUACCUCUAGAAUAAGCCACGGCUAACUACGUGCCAGCCGCCGCAGUAA
RNAcentral lists this ribosomal RNA (496 nucleotides) under uncultured bacterium. RNAcentral describes it as "partial 16S ribosomal RNA". It matches the Rfam family "Bacterial small subunit ribosomal RNA", at positions 28 to 523 of the family's 1533-position model. The record is from RNAcentral.